RNA transcript from Scaptodrosophila lebanonensis, 877 nucleotides. RefSeq lists it as uncharacterized. NCBI's taxonomy places the organism in Eukaryota, Metazoa, Arthropoda, Insecta, Diptera, Drosophilidae. The record is from RefSeq and is a predicted model, not a curated record. The transcript is spliced from 2 exons.
AAUUUUAGUGUACAUAGAAUUGAAAACGCAAAAAUUCGAUAUGUCAAGCCCAAACAAGCUGUUUUCGAAAUCAGUGCAUGGUUGGCUCGCAGGCAUGAAGGACGAAGUGGUUUUCCACAUCAACCUAUUCCUUAUCACAUUGGCUAUAAUGGUUGUAACACUGCUAGAGAAGGUCUACAACUGCUUUAUAUAUUUGAGCGAGCCCCUUAGAGAGACCGAUGCGUUCUUUAUAACUAUAAUGGACUUUGCACUCCAGGGCGUAGGGUUUAUGUGUGACUGCAUUACUAAAUCGUUGAGAAGAGGAUACAGAUCGACACGUUUAAGGGCUCAACGACGAGCACAACAAGGACAAGCAAGAUCCUUGCGUAGACGAACCAGGAGCUUUGGAGGUUAAGCUAAUGCUAGAUAUUAAUUAAAUAUUUGUUGCAUUUGAAUUCAGAAGUUCGAAAAAAGGGGGAGGGGUGUGGAAAAUGAUCAUGCUGGGGUUUUUCCAACAUCAGCUCUAAAUCUUCAACGCCUUUACUCUACUAGCAUUGCAAUCGAUUGAUCUUGAGCUCCAGAGCUCAGCCAGAGCCCACAAGACACAGGCACGCUGCUGACAAGGGGAAUAUAAAUCAAAUAAACAAACCUCAUUAACAUAUUAUCAGCAUCAAAUUGUGACACGGGACGUCAUCUUAAGUUCAAGUGAGAAAUCUGUCACGAAGCAUUAAGGCGCAACAAUCCACCCAAAACUCCAAACGCCAGCCAGCUCCAGGUUCUUGUCCUGUCAAGCUCAGAUACUCUGUCAACCCUGGGUGGCGGAUGUGACGCGAUGCCGAGUGACUUGCGGUGCGGCUGGCUUCGUCUCUGAGGCGCGAAUUGGUAGCUAUUCCCGGAA